CAGCCGAAGCCUUUCAGAUACAGUAUCAUCAUGUAUACCGCGCUUUUGUUUCUUGCUUUGUUCUCGUGCUUUUCUCUCAUAGCGGGAAAGUCGCUUGAAGCAAUUCACAGCAUUCCUGGAUGGAAAUUCAACUCACUGUCCUCAUCCCUUCAAAAAAGUGACUCGUCGGGGGAUCAGUGUGUCUUACUGUCCAGCUUCAGUCAAAUUCCACGUCUCUUGUCCAAUAUACACCAAAGUCCUCACAUGUUGUUGCACAAAUUCCACCAAAAAUCCAGUUUAUAACACAACCCUGCCAUCUGGAGAUAUGUCUUCCUCUGCCAUCAAAACUGAUUCAUCAGUGAGGAUACACUAUUGUGCCAUUGCUGUUGCUGUCACGUUUGCCUUAACCCUCGUCAUCUUGGCUUUCCUCAUCUGCAGGACAAACAGCAGUGCAAAAUAUGCUCCUACAAGAGCCUCAGCUGAUGGACAAAACCAGCCUUGUUCAGUAUAAUUAUCCUAAGGAGGCAUCUGAACUUGCACUAGAAACACAUGGCGUGGAGUCAUGACAACACAUUAUCCGAUAAUGUAACAUGUAUUAUAUUAUAUUAUAUUAUAUUAUAUUAUAUUAUAUUAUAUUAUAUUAUAUUAUAUUAGAGAAAACAUAAGCACU
Long non-coding RNA from Cyprinus carpio carpio, 649 nucleotides. The record is from Ensembl. Lineage: Eukaryota; Metazoa; Chordata; Actinopteri; Cypriniformes; Cyprinidae.